CUCCCCCGCAGUGACCGCGCAUGCGUCCGAUAAAGGCCGGGUCCAGGGAAAGGGACACGCCCGCCGCUGACUUGUUCCCGGGGGACGUUACGGGGCAACAGCGCCACCUGCUGGGCAGCGCCGCUGCGUUCCGCCUCGUGCCUCCCCCGCGCCCCGCUAAACCCAGAGCCUCGGUCCCAAGCUACGAGCCAUAGCUACAAUCCCCUCCCGUGGCAAAGUGAAAAUUUCUCGAGUUCAAUCGUUCCACUAGAGUGGGUCAGAUAAGAAAAGGCCCUUCCCCAUAAUCGCUCCAGCUGUCUGCUCCGUUCUUUCAGGCUCCUGUAAGCCAUUCCAGGUUAGCAUCCAUUCUGUUGAUAAGUCCCAGUCUGAUUUGUGGAUGGCCAGUAGUGCAACAAAUUCAAAUAAUCCGCAAAUCCUUCCAUGGAGUACAAGACAUCAAAGUUGGAGGCCAACAGCAAAGAAAAUGCUGGCAGACAGAGGAGCGAUCACAACUGAUGCAGCUACAGCUCAAACCUAACACUAGAGAUCUGGCUAGCAGUGACAACUCUGAACAGACUUGUAUGGAGUGGUAACUCAAUCUAUUACUACAAUUUGCAGUAACAUUUGAGGAAGUGUGUCAGUAAUCCAUAACAAAGAACAUUUAACGCCUAGUCUACACUACAGAGUUAGGUCAACAUAAGGAAGCUUACAUUGACCUAAUUUUAUUACGCAUCUACACUACAGUAAGCUGUCCUCUACGCUGACCUAAUAACUUCACCUCCGUGCGCAAAAGUGUGCUUAGGUCAAUGUAGUUAAGUUGCUUACAUCACCUGUUGCUGCUUUUGACAGCCCGAGCCCCGUUGCCCUUGCAUGGAGCCAGCCAGUGCCAUCAGCCCCAGCUUCGCUGCCCCCACAUGGGGCCAGCCACCCCAGCCCCAUGUAGGGGCAAGCGGGACUGGGGCCGAUGGCACCGGCCAGUGGGCGGCAGGGCCGGCCGCCAGCUGGUGCCAUCAACCCCAGCUGCUCCCGGGUGGGGCAGAGCAGGCCAGCCAGUGCCACCAGCCCUGCU
Long non-coding RNA from Trachemys scripta elegans, 1048 nucleotides. RefSeq lists it as uncharacterized. The record is from RefSeq and is a predicted model, not a curated record. The transcript has 3 exons. Lineage: Eukaryota; Metazoa; Chordata; Testudines; Emydidae.